RNAcentral lists this ribosomal RNA (2212 nucleotides) under Escherichia coli. Its description in RNAcentral is "partial 23S ribosomal RNA". It matches the Rfam family "Bacterial large subunit ribosomal RNA", at positions 1 to 2236 of the family's 2925-position model. The record is from RNAcentral. Lineage: Bacteria; Pseudomonadati; Pseudomonadota; Gammaproteobacteria; Enterobacterales; Enterobacteriaceae.
GGUUAAGCGACUAAGCGUACACGGUGGAUGCCCUGGCAGUCAGAGGCGAUGAAGGACGUGCUAAUCUGCGAUAAGCGUCGGUAAGGUGAUAUGAACCGUUAUAACCGGCGAUUUCCGAAUGGGGAAACCCAGUGUGAUUCGUCACACUAUCAUUAACUGAAUCCAUAGGUUAAUGAGGCGAACCGGGGGAACUGAAACAUCUAAGUACCCCGAGGAAAAGAAAUCAACCGAGAUUCCCCCAGUAGCGGCGAGCGAACAGGGAGCAGCCCAGAGCCUGAAUCAGUGUGUGUGUUAGUGGAAGCGUCUGGAAAGGCGCGCGAUACAGGGUGACAGCCCCGUACACAAAAAUGCACAUACUGUGAGCUCGAUGAGUAGGGCGGGACACGUGGUAUCCUGUCUGAAUAUGGGGGGACCAUCCUCCAAGGCUAAAUACUCCUGACUGACCGAUAGUGAACCAGUACCGUGAGGGAAAGGCGAAAAGAACCCCGGCGAGGGGAGUGAAAAAGAACCUGAAACCGUGUACGUACAAGCAGUGGGAGCACAGAGCAAUCUGUGUGACUGCGUACCUUUUGUAUAAUGGGUCAGCGACUUAUAUUCUGUAGCAAGGUUAACCGAAUAGGGGAGCCGAAGGGAAACCGAGUCUUAACUGGGCGUUAAGUUGCAGGGUAUAGACCCGAAACCCGGUGAUCUAGCCAUGGGCAGGUUGAAGGUUGGGUAACACUAACUGGAGGACCGAACCGACUAAUGUUGAAAAAUUAGCGGAUGACUUGUGGCUGGGGGUGAAAGGCCAAUCAAACCGGGAGAUAGCUGGUUCUCCCCGAAAGCUAUUUAGGUAGCGCCUCGUGAAUUCAUCUCCGGGGGUAGAGCACUGUUUCGGCAAGGGGGUCAUCCCGACUUACCAACCCGAUGCAAACUGCGAAUACCGGAGAAUGUUAUCACGGGAGACACACGGCGGGUGCUAACGUCCGUCGUGAAGAGGGAAACAACCCAGACCGCCAGCUAAGGUCCCAAAGUCAUGGUUAAGUGGGAAACGAUGUGGGAAGGCCCAGACAGCCAGGAUGUUGGCUUAGAAGCAGCCAUCAUUUAAAGAAAGCGUAAUAGCUCACUGGUCGAGUCGGCCUGCGCGGAAGAUGUAACGGGGCUAAACCAUGCACCGAAGCUGCGGCAGCGACGCUUAUGCGUUGUUGGGUAGGGGAGCGUUCUGUAAGCCUGUGAAGGUGUACUGUGAGGUAUGCUGGAGGUAUCAGAAGUGCGAAUGCUGACAUAAGUAACGAUAAAGCGGGUGAAAAGCCCGCUCGCCGGAAGACCAAGGGUUCCUGUCCAACGUUAAUCGGGGCAGGGUGAGUCGACCCCUAAGGCGAGGCCGAAAGGCGUAGUCGAUGGGAAACAGGUUAAUAUUCCUGUACUUGGUGUUACUGCGAAGGGGGGACGGAGAAGGCUAUGUUGGCCGGGCGACGGUUGUCCCGGUUUAAGCGUGUAGGCUGGUUUUCCAGGCAAAUCCGGAAAAUCAAGGCUGAGGCGUGAUGACGAGGCACUACGGUGCUGAAGCAACAAAUGCCCUGCUUCCAGGAAAAGCCUCUAAGCAUCAGGUAACAUCAAAUCGUACCCCAAACCGACACAGGUGGUCAGGUAGAGAAUACCAAGGCGCUUGAGAGAACUCGGGUGAAGGAACUAGGCAAAAUGGUGCCGUAACUUCGGGAGAAGGCACGCUGAUAUGUAGGUGAAGCGACUUGCUCGUGGAGCUGAAAUCAGUCGAAGAUACCAGCUGGCUGCAACUGUUUAUUAAAAACACAGCACUGUGCAAACACGAAAGUGGACGUAUACGGUGUGACGCCUGCCCGGUGCCGGAAGGUUAAUUGAUGGGGUUAGCGCAAGCGAAGCUCUUGAUCGAAGCCCCGGUAAACGGCGGCCGUAACUAUAACGGUCCUAAGGUAGCGAAAUUCCUUGUCGGGUAAGUUCCGACCUGCACGAAUGGCGUAAUGAUGGCCAGGCUGUCUCCACCCGAGACUCAGUGAAAUUGAACUCGCUGUGAAGAUGCAGUGUACCCGCGGCAAGACGGAAAGACCCCGUGAACCUUUACUAUAGCUUGACACUGAACAUUGAGCCUUGAUGUGUAGGAUAGGUGGGAGGCUUUGAAGUGUGGACGCCAGUCUGCAUGGAGCCGACCUUGAAAUACCACCCUUUAAUGUUUGAUGUUCUAACGUUGACCCGU